GCUAAAGGCUGAUAUUCUGCUAUUUAAAUUAUAUUCUCACAAAAAAGAAGAAUAGAUAAAUUUCCUUUUUCUAAAAAAAAAAAAAUUCUAGCUUGGGCCUUCUCCUUCAACUAUGUCAAGGGCUAGGCCAAGAUUUGACCUCCCUUUCACAGAAUUGAUCUUUUCCAACUUCAGACCAGCUCUGAACCUUGCAAUGAAGUUCUCAGCCUUUGUGUUCACGUCAGGACUUGGA
This 232-nucleotide unclassified non-coding RNA is filed under the name Hevea brasiliensis (rubber tree). The record is from RNAcentral. Lineage: Eukaryota; Viridiplantae; Streptophyta; Magnoliopsida; Malpighiales; Euphorbiaceae.